RNAcentral lists this transfer RNA (75 nucleotides) under Taenia arctos. RNAcentral describes it as "tRNA-His". Lineage: Eukaryota; Metazoa; Platyhelminthes; Cestoda; Cyclophyllidea; Taeniidae. The record is from RNAcentral.
UUACUAAUAGGUUAUGUAAACUAAUAGAUUGUGGUUCUAUUGAAUACUUGUUGAUUUAGAAAUAGUAUUAGUAAA